Eucalyptus grandis is the source of this 185-nucleotide long non-coding RNA. RefSeq lists it as uncharacterized. The transcript is spliced from 3 exons. The record is from RefSeq and is a predicted model, not a curated record. Lineage: Eukaryota; Viridiplantae; Streptophyta; Magnoliopsida; Myrtales; Myrtaceae.
AAGCUUCCGACGGCACCAUGUUUCGUCGAUGGAGUAACUCUCACCACAGUGAGGAAGAUGACUCACUGCAGUUUGAAUCUAAGAUCAUGGGCAUUGGAGGCAAAUGACAUGAAUUGUUUCAACAUCCAAUUUCAGCUGGAUUUAGUCUUUGGAGAUUUACUAAAAGAAAGAGGCGGGUUGCUUUC